Humulus lupulus (European hop) is the source of this 354-nucleotide long non-coding RNA. RefSeq lists it as uncharacterized. NCBI's taxonomy places the organism in Eukaryota, Viridiplantae, Streptophyta, Magnoliopsida, Rosales, Cannabaceae. The transcript has 3 exons. The record is from RefSeq and is a predicted model, not a curated record.
AAUAUAUGGAAGAAGAAGAAGCGCUUCAAACAUCAGAGUAUCUUGAGUCAGAGAUGACCAAUGAUCCUACAAGUGCUGGGCCUGGGCCAGCUUCAUCCUCCGUCAAUUUUCAGUCUUCAGCCUCAUCUGCUGCACAACAAUCUACAAAUUAAAAGAAUUGCAAUUGCUUGAAUGAAGGAAAGGAAAGAAGGAAAGGGCAUGGACUUUUGCUGGUCAUGUAUUUUGAACUUUUAUAGACUUAAUUUAAUGUUUAUGGUUGUAGACGACUUAUGGACUUUAUUUUGGUUUUGUGGUUAACUAGUUAUGUACUUAAGUUUAUGGAUUUUAUCGUUGUUUAUUUAUGGUUGCAGUUUU